This 814-nucleotide ribosomal RNA is filed under the name uncultured bacterium. RNAcentral's name for it is "bacterial SSU rRNA". It matches the Rfam family "Bacterial small subunit ribosomal RNA", at positions 8 to 796 of the family's 1533-position model. The record is from RNAcentral.
AGAGUUUGAUCAUGGCUCAGGACUAACGCUGACGGUGUGCAUAAUACAUGCAAGUCGAACGUGCAAUGAAAGAGUAGCAAUACUUUUUCAAAGCAAGUGGCGAACGGGUGCGUAACGCGUGGGUAAUCUGCCUUGAAGAUUGGGACAACCUUUCGAAAGGAAGGCUAAUACCAAAUAUGCUGUAUUUUUCGCAUGUUUAAUAUAGUAAAGAUAGCCGCAAGGCCUUCGCUUUAAGAUGAGCCCGCGUCCUAUUAGCUUGUUGGUGGGGUAAUGGCUCACCAAGGCUAUGAUGGGUAGCCGGUCUGAGAGGAUGGUCGGCCACACUGGGACUGAGAUACGGCCCAGACUCCUACGGGAGGCAGCAGUAGGGAAUAUUGCGCAAUGGACGAAAGUCUGACGCAGCGACACCGUGUGAAGGAUGAAAAUCUUCGGAUUGUAAACUUCUGUCAAUUGGAGACGAAGGUAGUAGGGUUAAUAGCCCGAAUACUGACGGUACCCAAUAAGGAAGUCUCGGCUUACUCCGUGCCAGCAGCCGCGGUAAGACGGGGGAGGCAAGCGUUGUCCGGAAUUAUUGGGCGUAAAGAGCGCGUAGGUUGUUUAUCAAGUCAUUUGUGAAAACUUUAGGCUUAACUUAAAGAUUGCAAGUGAUACUGGUAAACUUGAGUACAGUAGAGGAAAGCGGAAUUCCUGGUGUAGCGGUGAAAUGCGCAGAUAUCAGGAAGAACACCAGUGGCGAAGGCGGCUUUCUGGGCUGUUACUGACACUGAGGCGCGAAAGCUAGGGGAGCGAACAGGAUUAGAUACCCUAGUAGUCC